Molecule: ribosomal RNA, 253 nt
Filed under: uncultured bacterium
Lineage: Bacteria
Description: partial 16S ribosomal RNA
Rfam family: Bacterial small subunit ribosomal RNA
Source: RNAcentral
UACGUAGGGGGCAAGCGUUGUCCGGAUUUACUGGGCGUAAAGCGCGCGUAGGCGGCAGUUCAAGUCUGGCCUGAAAGCCCCCGGCUCAACCGGGGAGUGGGGCUGGAAACUGGGCUUCUUGAGGGCGAUAGAGGAGUGUGGAAUUCCUGGUGUAGCGGUGAAAUGCGUAGAGAUCAGGAGGAACACCCGUGGCGAAGGCGGCACGCUGGGACGGUACUGACGCUGAGACGCGAAAGCGUGGGGAGCGAACAGG